AAAACAAACUUGAGGGCUGGAGCACCACCUGUCAUCUUGGACCAUGAGGUGACCUCGAAGAUGGAAGCUAUACGCUGAGUACAGUAGGACAAAAAGGGAAGAGACCAUGUCCCCAGUGACAGUCCAAAGAUCCUAUACCAUUCAUGGACAGCCUACUUUCAGAUUUCCUCUACCUGAGAAAAAUGGGAGAGAAUCUAAGGAGGAAAUGCACCGAUGUGCGCGAGCUGCGUUGAAACGCAUCAAAAAUAAGAUUGAGUGAUGAAGGGGUGAAGAAAUAGAUGGCCAAUGUCAUCCAUAAAGUGGCAGUGAACCAUUCAUUAUAGAAUCUAGGUGGUUUUCCUUCUUCCACUUCCUCCUUUUCCUUCCUGGAAAGCAGAUCCAAUGGCUGAAGGCACAAUGGUCCUUUGCAGCCACGAGGCAAGGAGCAUAAGAAUCAAAGCCUGCAUACUAAUAAUACUGGGACAGAAACAUGUGAAGGACUGCAUCUCAAUAGUAUUACCAGAGGGCUUUAUGGCUCUUUGGCUUGCUACUAGUUAUGUGAUGUAGUAGCCACAUGUGACUAUUUAAAUUUUAAUUUGAAUUAAUUAAAAUAAAUUAAAUUAAAUUUUCAGCCCCUCCAUGCACUUAGCCCAAUUUCAAGUCCUCAAUAGCUACAUGUAGCUAGUGGCUAAUGUGUUAAACAGCCAGAGUUUUAGAAUAGCUCAUCAAGACAUCUCUAGUUGACAACACCAGCCUAAAUCGUCCCCAACUGAUACAGUGUAUUUUGAAAGAAGCUAGAAAGAAAAAGGUGGUUUUUAAAUCACCUUCCAAUGGCCAAAUUGUGUGCAUUUCCCUUUAAGAGCCAUGUUUGUUUCGGACUAAAACUGAAACUACAGGGGUUUAUUCUGUUCCUCUUUUCACCAAAAAAAACAAGCCGUGAAGCUAAAGCCAUGCUGAAUUCUUCCAAACCAAUUAUGUUCCAUGAUCUCCCAGAGCCAGAAAAGAAAAAUGUCACAGCAAUUAUUUGAAGCAAUAGGCAGGCCUGGAAAAAGAGCCAGGUGCUGCAGAAAUACACGUGAAAAUCAGAAAAUAAUGAACCAAAACAGAAUAGAGUUGAUCUCUCUUCUACUUUCUAUUAACCGUCUUUGAAUGGCAUAUAAUGGACUUUGGGAGCUACCUGAUUUUUGGUAUAAUCAGGUAACUGGAGGAUUUUUAUGGCUUAGAGCCCUCAGAGAGGUUUCUGUGUAAUAGGCAUAGUCUCACAAAAUUGACUGCUAUAGCUUCACAUUUUUGUGGGCAUCUGUCAUCUGGGUGGUUUUUCUUCCUACAAUAUUGUAAUAUAAUACUGUAAUAAUAUAUUGUAAAAAAUAAAUAGAUAAAACAGGAACAAAACAAGAAAGUUUGUGUCCAACUAUUACUUGUUUGAAUCUUUACUUCUUUCAGUUUUGUUUGAACUGACCAAGAUAAGCUUCCUCUUCUACCAUCUGUGCAUUAAAUUCAAUGUAUCCAGGGGUGGGAUAAAACCAUGUUUAUAAUCAAACACAUGCACAGUGGUUUGCAUAGGACAUCACUCUUUAAUAUUUCCAUGCAUCACUCUGUGCUCAUCACAAUUGCACUCCCUGAUCCCCAUCACCUACUUAACUAUCUGGAAUUAAAGUUAAAUCUUAAAGUAAAAAAAAAAAAAAAGAAAAGAAAAGAAAAAACGAACAUUCUUUUCUUCCUAUGUAAACUUCUGCUAGCUUAUGCAUGGAUGAAUGUAAGAUCAGCCCUGGAAAAAGUGUGUCUU
Long non-coding RNA from Mustela erminea (ermine), 1765 nucleotides. RefSeq lists it as uncharacterized. The record is from RefSeq and is a predicted model, not a curated record. The transcript is spliced from 3 exons. NCBI's taxonomy places the organism in Eukaryota, Metazoa, Chordata, Mammalia, Carnivora, Mustelidae.